Molecule: ribosomal RNA, 403 nt
Filed under: uncultured bacterium
Lineage: Bacteria
Description: partial 16S ribosomal RNA
Rfam family: Bacterial small subunit ribosomal RNA
Source: RNAcentral
GACGAACGCUGGCGGCGUGCCUAAUACAUGCAAGUCGAACGCAGUGGGGACGGGUGAGUAACACGUGGGUAACCUCCCAUCAGAGGGGAUAACACUUGGAAACAGGUGCUAAACCGAUACUGAUGGAUGGACCCGCUGUGCAUUAGCUAGUUGGGGAGGUAACGGCUAACCAAGGCCACGAUGGAUAGCCGACCUGAGAGGGGUAUCGGCCACACUGGGACUGAGACACGGCCCAGACUCCUACGGGAGGCAGCAGUAGGGAAUCUUCGGCAAUGGACGAAAGUCUGACCGAGCAACGCCGCGUGAGUGAAGAAGGUUUUCGGAUCGUAAAGCUCUGUUGUUAGAGAAGCGGUAGCUAAAGAGAAAGCCACGGCUAACUACGUGCCAGCAGGCGCGGUAAGAG